GGUAAAGUGAAAUCGGUGGCUUAGAUCACAUUGUCCAACAUAAGGAUAACCGAGUAAAUUGACUUGACAAUCUGAAAACAUUUAGUUAGGUCAUGGAAAUUCAACUUCGACUUAGUGCUUUCGGUUGUUAUAAUAGCAAGUAUCAUCUCUCUGACAGAU
This is a long non-coding RNA of Bradysia coprophila, 159 nucleotides long. The record is from RefSeq and is a predicted model, not a curated record. Lineage: Eukaryota; Metazoa; Arthropoda; Insecta; Diptera; Sciaridae.